This 458-nucleotide ribosomal RNA is filed under the name uncultured bacterium. RNAcentral describes it as "bacterial SSU rRNA". It matches the Rfam family "Bacterial small subunit ribosomal RNA", at positions 337 to 795 of the family's 1533-position model. The record is from RNAcentral.
UCCUACGGGAGGCAGCAGUGGGGAAUAUUGCGCAAUGGACGAAAGUCUGACGCAGCGACGCCGCGUGUAGGAUGACGCCUUUCGGGGUGUAAACUACUGUUGCCCGGGACGAAACUCCUUUUUCGAGAGGACUGACGGUACCGGGUGAGGAAGCACCGGCUAACUCUGUGCCAGCAGCCGCGGUAAUACAGAGGGUGCGAGCGUUGUCCGGAAUCACUGGGCGUAAAGGGCGCGUAGGUGGCUUGGUAAGCGUGUGGUGAAAGCCCGGGGCUCAACCCCGGAUCUGCCGUGCGAACUGCCGAGCUUGAGCACUGUAGAGGCAGGUGGAAUUCCGGGUGUAGCGGUGGAAUGCGUAGAGAUCCGGAAGAACACCAGUGGCGAAGGCGGCCUGCUGGGCAGUUGCUGACACUGAGGCGCGACAGCGUGGGGAGCAAACAGGAUUAGAUACCCUGGUAGUC